CAGACGCAUCGUCAAGAGAUCCGCGUGCAUUGAAAAAAAAAAACGGCAAUGAAAUGUGCGCGUUUUCUGCAGCGUUGCUGACCUGACACUGGCUUAAAAAUGGGCGCGUGCGGUGUUCAGCACCAUCUGUGCGCUCCUUACCGACUCCCUGCCGUUGAGCUGCAUGCCCUUCGCCAGGCGCGACUCCGUCUUCGUCCUCCUCUCCAUUUCCUCCAUGAUUCCUUGGAUGUGAUCCCCGGAGAUCCCGUGGAAAAGCAUGGCUCCCGGUCCUGGACACAACGUGCAACUGCUCGCCUCUGUUUUGCAGCUCACAACUUCCAUAUACCGUGCCUCUGCGCUGCGCUCCGUUUCCUCCUUUUUUUUCCCCCUCCUCUCUUUCUGCUUAUUUUGAAUUUUCUCAGCGCAUCCGAGUGGGCUCUACACAAAACACAAAACAGGAAGAAAAG
This is a long non-coding RNA of Fundulus heteroclitus (mummichog), 446 nucleotides long. RefSeq lists it as uncharacterized. The transcript has 2 exons. Lineage: Eukaryota; Metazoa; Chordata; Actinopteri; Cyprinodontiformes; Fundulidae. The record is from RefSeq and is a predicted model, not a curated record.